Long non-coding RNA from Balaenoptera ricei (Rice's whale), 2349 nucleotides. RefSeq lists it as uncharacterized. The record is from RefSeq and is a predicted model, not a curated record. NCBI's taxonomy places the organism in Eukaryota, Metazoa, Chordata, Mammalia, Artiodactyla, Balaenopteridae. The transcript has 4 exons.
UACCUGACUUUAGUGAUUUGUAUCCCAUUUUAACUCUACUUAAUGGGAGUGAAUGAUUAUAGUUUCAGUGUAGAGUUUCCAGCUUAACUAAUGAUUGAUGUUACACAUUUAUGAAAAAAAUUAUCCUGAUUAAUGUAAGUCCAAGUGAGAUGUGAUAAACUUAAAUUAAUCUUUUGAUUCUCAAUCAUACAUAAUAUUUAUUAACCAUUUUGUUUUGUGAAAGUACCAUAUACUUCAGUACUCUUCUAAUUUUCUGUAGUCUAAGUACUGUCUCUUACAUAGGAAAAAAUUUAUGGUGGCUUCUGUUACUUCAAGCGUGAAAGAGUUAUAUUUUAAAUGUUGGUAGCUGCAAGCUGCUUCAGGCACCUCUGAUAUUUUAUAGGGUGUGGAUAUAGUUAGACGUAAGCAUUGUUGUUUGUUGUUUUGUUAGGGUUUCUUGUUUUUGUUUUUGGCAAAUGGAUCCUAGAUAGAAUGUAAGUCUGUGCUGAGUUUGAUGGUUUAAAUGUGAAUUUAGAUUCGGAGGUUAUUGAUUUGUCAGUAUACAGCAGAAUGCACGAAAUUAAACGAAAGCCCAGCAGUAGUUUCUACUGGGUAUCUGCUAGCAUCGUGGAGAGACAUUUUAUUCGCACAGAGGAGUGAAAGGGUUUUCAAAGAAACACUGAUGAACCAACCUGUUCUGUUUUUGUCCAAAAGUGUGUCUCAGCAUUUUAGUGCUACUUUGUAGAAGCUAUGAAAACUGGAAAAAUUUGGUUUUUGUUGUGAACUAGCUUAUAUCCUCCAACAUUCACAUAAAGGAGAAACUUCUGAGAUAGCUCAUCAGAGAAUUAUACAGAUUUUUACUUUUUUCACUUUUAGAAACAUAGCAGUACGUUCACUAUGUAAUUUUUUAAAGUACUUUAUCACACAUUAUAACAUUAGUGUUCAUCCCACAACUCAGGUAGGUGGAACAGUUGAGCAUAUCAUGAUCUAGAAAAUGUGCAGAGGUUUCAGUGGGAGAGGUAGGUGGGUUUAAACAUUUAUCCUGAGGGACCAGGUAGCUUGGAGUAGGAUUUUAAUCUAAAGUGUAUUUGGGCUCAUUUUCUCCAAAGGUCUUAGAAAGGAUACACCAGUAAGUAUUAAAGUUAAUCUAAAAAGAGGUAGAAAUGUGGGAGCUUAAUUGUAUAUCCAAGAAUACACCCAUGCUUCUUUUCCUCUGAAUUCAUAUCCUUUGAAGCCUUUACAGAUUUUUUCAUCAUAGGCCUAGAAUAUCCUGAGUUCACAAAUUACAAAGUUUUUUCUAUUUCAGAGGUAAAGUACCAACCUAGGGCCCUCUAAUUCCUAUAAGAGUUUUAGGAUGGAGUUUCUUUUAACUCAGAAACAACAGUUAUGGAAGCAGUGAGUUUUUAUUUUCGCAAGGCUUUUGUGACAUAGAAAUGGAGAUUUUUGUAAUGUACAUUAACAGUUAACUGUGUAGAAAUUGUCUAAGUGCUUAGAAUUUUUAAAUCCAUUUUAGUAGCCUUCUGUUUUUCUUUGAAGAAGGAUAAUAUGUGUGCUGGUUUUUCUUUUACUCUCCUCAAGUCAGAAUCCGUUCUUUGCCUGCUUGGAGGCCAUGGGACUUAGCCUUGCUAACUGCCUCACAGCUCCCUGUGGACUGGUUUCCUGUGGUUUAAUUCAGGAAGCACUGAAUUCAUGGGGACCAUGGUGCCGGAUGCUGAGAAGGGUGUCCACUGCCAGAGUCCUGGGCCUUCAUGAAGAAUGAUCCAGAAGCAAGCUCAUCCUCCUCAAGCCUGAAACCAAGCCUAGACUCCUGUCUGACUAUGUGCACCUGUUGGUUUUGACUCCAGACUCCUCCACUGAGGUGUCUGCACAAAAAUCUGGUCUAGAAGACUAUUGCGAGCAGUUUAUUAAAGCAGACUUAAUUAAUAUGGAAUAUAUGUGGAUUUUCCAGAGCUGGAACAUGGCUAGUUUCCUAAACAAUUGUGUAAUGUUAAAAGACUGAAUGGAAGGAUUAUAAUCUUAAGGCCUUCAAAAGAAUCCAGGAACAUUCAGUGUGACACCUGUAUCAGCAGAUGACAAUACUACUUACUCGGGGAAAAUGGUAUUAUUGCUGUGCUUUCUUAAGACACUGUGCUGGGCUCAUUGAAGAGUGAGUGAGCUGCAAAUGUGUGCUCUGCCUACAAGCUGCCUACAACCUGAGCGAGUGCCUGGCUUAGCGACCCCCUGUCAGCUGAAGUAGAGCUGGGGUUUUGGAAGACUUCUGGGAAUGUUUGCCCAGCAUCUAGAACAGGACAAACACACAGUUGGCACUUGGUAAGUGUAUGUGAAUUACCGGAAUGGAUAGACUAAGUAUUUGAUGAGAGACAAUUGUAU